RNAcentral lists this ribosomal RNA (464 nucleotides) under Vreelandella stevensii. RNAcentral's name for it is "partial 16S ribosomal RNA". It matches the Rfam family "Bacterial small subunit ribosomal RNA", at positions 338 to 795 of the family's 1533-position model. Lineage: Bacteria; Pseudomonadati; Pseudomonadota; Gammaproteobacteria; Oceanospirillales; Halomonadaceae. The record is from RNAcentral.
CCUACGGGGGGCUGCAGUGGGGAAUAUUGGACAAUGGGGGGAACCCUGAUCCAGCCAUGCCGCGUGUGUGAAGAAGGCCCUCGGGUUGUAAAGCACUUUCAGUGAGGAAGAACGCCUGGUGGUUAAUACCCAUCAGGAAAGACAUCACUCACAGAAGAAGCACCGGCUAACUCCGUGCAGCAGCCGCGGUAAUACAGAGGGUGCGAGCGUUAAUCGGAAUUACUGGGCGUAAAGCGCGCGUAGGUGGCUUGAUAAGCCGGUUGUGAAAGCCCCGGGCUCAACCUGGGAACGGCAUCCGGAACUGUCAAGCUAGAGUGCAGGAGAGGAAGGUAGAAUUCCCGGUGUAGCGGUGAAAUGCGUAGAGAUCGGGAGGAAUACCAGUGGCGAAGGCGGCCUUCUGGACUGACACUGACACUGAGGUGCGAAAGCGUGGGUAGCAAACAGGAUUAGAUACCCGAGUAGUC